Molecule: ribosomal RNA, 485 nt
Filed under: uncultured bacterium
Lineage: Bacteria
Description: bacterial SSU rRNA
Rfam family: Bacterial small subunit ribosomal RNA
Source: RNAcentral
CUCCUACGGGAGGCAGCAGUGGGGAAUCUUGCGCAAUGGGGGGAACCCUGACGCAGCGACGCCGCGUGCGGGACGGAGGCCUUCGGGUCGUAAACCGCUUUCAGCAGGGAAGAGUCAAGACUGUACCUGCAGAAGAAGCCCCGGCUAACUACGUGCCAGCAGCCGCGGUAAUACGUAGGGCGCAAGCGUUAUCCGGAUUUAUUGGGCGUAAAGGGCUCGUAGGCGGCUCGUCGCGUCCGGUGUGAAAGUCCAUCGCUUAACGGUGGAUCUGCGCCGGGUACGGGCGGGCUGGAGUGCGGUAGGGGAGACUGGAAUUCCCGGUGUAACGGUGGAAUGUGUAGAUAUCGGGAAGAACACCGAUGGCGAAGGCAGGUCUCUGGGCCGUCACUGACGCUGAGGAGCGAAAGCGUGGGGAGCGNACAGGAUUAGAUACCCUGGUAGUACCACGCCGUAAACGGUGGACGCUGGAUGUGGGGCACGUUCCA